This 127-nucleotide small nuclear RNA is filed under the name Oryza sativa Japonica Group (Japanese rice). Lineage: Eukaryota; Viridiplantae; Streptophyta; Magnoliopsida; Poales; Poaceae. The record is from RNAcentral.
AUGAUUACACAUUACAUCUACUACCAUUGAGGAAAGGGAGAGAAUAUGAGUGACUCAUCUUUCCUAACUCACACAAAACAAGGACUCAAGGAUGACACACAAACUAGUAGUACUAUUCAUUUGGUAU